CCCUUAGAUGUUCUGGGCCGCACGCGCGCUACACUGUUCGACGCAGCGAGUCUUAACCUUGACCGAAAGGUUUGGGUAAUCUUCAGCAAAGUCGAACGUGAUGGGGAUCGAUCAUUGCAAUUAUUGAUCGUGAACGAGGAAUUCCUAGUAAGUGCAAGUCAUCAGCUUGCGCUGAUUACGUCCCCGCCCUUUGUACACACCGCCCGUCGCUACUACCGAUUGAAUGGUUUAGUGAGAUCUCUGGAUUGACGCUGGCUAGGGGGCGACCCUUGGCCAGACUGUUGAGAAACUGCUCAAACUUGAUCAUUUAGAGGAAGUAAAAGUCGUAACA
RNAcentral lists this ribosomal RNA (331 nucleotides) under uncultured eukaryote. RNAcentral's name for it is "partial 18S ribosomal RNA". It matches the Rfam family "Eukaryotic small subunit ribosomal RNA", at positions 1470 to 1796 of the family's 1831-position model. The record is from RNAcentral.